CAUGGCUCAGGAUGAACGCUAGCGGCAGGCUUAACACAUGCAAGUCGAGGGGUAACAGUUCUCUCCGGAGAUGCUGACGACCGGCGGACGGGUGAGUAACACGUAUGCAACCUACCUUUAACCGGAGGAUAGCUUCGGGAAACCGAAAUUAAUACUCCAUAAUAUCACGAUACUGCAUGGUAUUGUGAUUAAAGCUCAGGCGGUUAGAGAUGGGCAUGCGCAGCAUUAGCUAGUUGGUAGGGUAACGGCCUACCGAGGCGACGAUGCUUAGGGGGUCUGGGAGGAUGAUCCCCCACACUGGUACUGAGACACGGACCAGACUCCUACGGGAGGCAGCAGUGAGGAAUAUUGGGCAAUGGGCGCAAGCCUGACCCAGCCAUGCCGCGUGCAGGAUGCAGGUCCUACGGAUCGUAAACUGCUUUUAUACGGAAAGAAUUCUCCUGAUUUUUCGGGAGUUGACGGUACCGUAUGAAUAAGGACCGGCUAACUCCGUGCCAGCAGCCGCGGUAAUACGGAGGGUCCGAGCGUUAUCCGGAUUUACUGGGUUUAAAGGGUGCGUAGGCGGAAUAGUCAGUCAAUGGUGAAACCCUACAGCUUAACUGUAGAAUGGCCAUUGAUACUGCUAUUCUUGAGUAUAGUCGUGGGAAGUGGAAUGCGUAAUGUAGCGGUGAAAUGCAUAGAUAUUACGCAGAACACCGAUUGCGAAAGCAGCUUCCUAGCCUAUUACUGACGCUGAGGCACGAAAGCGUGGGGAGCGAACAGGAUUAGAUACCCUGGUAGUCCACGCUGUAAACGAUGCUCACUCGCUGUUGGCGAUACACUGUCAGCGGCUAAGCGAAAGCAUUAAGUGAGCCACCUGGGAAGUACGUCCGCAAGGAUGAAACUCAAAGGAAUUGACGGGGGCCCGCACGACCGGUGGAACAUGUGGUUCAAUUCGAUGAUACGCGAGGAACCUUACCUGGGCUUAAAUGUAACUUGACUUCCGCCGAAAGGUGGUUUUCCUUCGGGACAAGUUACAAGGUGCUGCACGGCUGUCGUCAGCUCGUGCCGUGAGGUAUCGGGUUAAGUCCCUUAACGAGCGCAACCCCUAUUGUUAGUUACCAGCAGCAGAGGCUGGGGACUCUAGCAAAACUGCCAGCGUAAGCUGGAGGAAGGUGGGGAUGACGUCAAGUCAGCAUGGCCCUUAUGCCCAGGGCUACACACGUGUUACAAUGGCCAGCACAAUGGGCAGCUACCACGCAAGUGGAUGCUAAUCCCCAAAGCUGGUCCCAGUUCGGAUCGGAGUCUGCAAUUCGACUUCGUGAAGGUGGAAUCGGUAGUAAUCGCACAUCAGCAACGGUGCGGUGAAUGCGUUCCCGGGCCUUGUACACACUGCCCGUCAAGCCAUGGAAGUCGGUAGUGCCUGAAGUCCGUAACCGUCUAGGAGCGGCCUAAGGCAAGACCGAUGACUGGGGCUAAGUCGUAACAAGGUAAC
RNAcentral lists this ribosomal RNA (1474 nucleotides) under uncultured bacterium. Its description in RNAcentral is "16S ribosomal RNA". It matches the Rfam family "Bacterial small subunit ribosomal RNA". The record is from RNAcentral.